GAGCGCGUGUGCACAGUCUCCAUUACAGGUUCGAGGAUGUAAGAUACAAAAAUAGAUCAAAUGGACUUCAGUAAAUCAGUGUGAGAUCAAACACGGCCGGUUAUCUUCCUUUUCAUCGCUUUCAAUGUUAAGUAACAUAUAAAUAAGGUAUGUUUCCCAAAAUAUCGGCAGAAUUGGUUACAGAAUCAUCACCUCAAUUUAUUACUACUUUGAAGUCUCAGAAAGUAAUUGAGAAUGUUGAUGUCAAGCUGUCCUGCACAGUGUCUGGUAAUCCAGAACCAGAAGUCACCUGGUACAAAGGAGACAAGCAGCUUACUAAAGUUCUUGGAGUUCUUAAAUAUGAAGUGCUUAAGGAUGGCAAGGUUCACACACUUAAACUAUACAGAUGCACGGAAGACGACGCCGCCAUCUACCAAGUGUCUGCCACAAACUCAAAGGGGAUUGCCAUCUGCUCCUCGCUCUUACAAGUGG
Molecule: non-coding RNA, 471 nt
Organism: Chiloscyllium plagiosum (whitespotted bambooshark)
Lineage: Eukaryota; Metazoa; Chordata; Chondrichthyes; Orectolobiformes; Hemiscylliidae
Source: RefSeq, a predicted model, not a curated record